RNAcentral lists this ribosomal RNA (468 nucleotides) under uncultured bacterium. RNAcentral's name for it is "partial 16S ribosomal RNA". It matches the Rfam family "Bacterial small subunit ribosomal RNA", at positions 28 to 507 of the family's 1533-position model. The record is from RNAcentral.
GACGAACGCUGGCGGCGUGCUUAACACAUGCAAGUCGAACGGAAAGGCCCUGCUUUUGUGGGGUGCUCGAGUGGCGAACGGGUGAGUAACCCGUGAGUAACCUGCCCUUGACUUUGGGAUAACUUCAGGAAACUUGGGAUAAUACCCGAUAGGAGCUCCUGCUGCAUGGUGGGGGUUGGAAAGUUUCGGCGGUUGGGGAUGGACUCGCGGCUUAUCAGCUUGUUGGUGGGGGAGUGGCUUACCAAGGCGUUGACGGGUAGCCGGCCUGAGAGGGUGACCGGCCACAUUGGGACUGAGAUACGGCCCAGACUCCUACGGGAGGCAGCAGUGGGGAAUAUUGCACAAUGGGCGGAAGCCUGAUGCAGCAACGCCGCGUGCGGGAUGACGGCCUUCGGGUUGUAAACCGCUUUCGCCUGUGACGAAGCGUGAGUGACGGUAAUGGGUAAAGAAGCACCGGCUAACUACGUG